GAUGAACGCUGGCGGCGUGCCUAAUACAUGCAAGUCGAGCGAACAGACGAGGAGCUUGCUCCUCUGACGUUAGCGGCGGACGGGUGAGUAACACGUGGAUAACCCACCUAUAAGACGGGGAUAACUUCGGGAAACCGGAGCUAAUACCGGAUAAGAUAUUGAACCGCAUGGUUGAAUAGUGAAAGUCGGUUUUGCUGGCAGUUAUAGAUGGUUCCGCGCCGCAUUAGCGGGUUGGUAAGGUAACGGCUUACCAAGGCAACGAUGCGUAGCCGAGCGGAGAGGGUGAUCGGCCACACUGGAACUGGGCCACGGUCCAGACUCCUACGGGAGGCACCAGUAGGCAAUCUUCCGCAAUGGGCGGAAGCCUGACGGAGCGACGCCGCGUGUGUGAUGAAGGUCUUCGGAUCGUAAAGCUCUGUUAUUAGGGAAGAACAAAUGUGUAAGUAACUAUGCACGUCUUGACGGUAACUAAUCAGAAAGCCACGGCUAACUACGUG
This 497-nucleotide ribosomal RNA is filed under the name uncultured bacterium. RNAcentral's name for it is "partial 16S ribosomal RNA". It matches the Rfam family "Bacterial small subunit ribosomal RNA", at positions 28 to 507 of the family's 1533-position model. The record is from RNAcentral.